GCACCACCGAGCCAGCUCGCAGACCAGGGGAGCAAGCCGGUGAGCCUAGUGGACCGCCAGCAGCAGCUGCAGCGGCGCCGGCAUCACACGUGGAUGUGCCAACCGUGAGUGGGCGAGCCAGCCACCGUGGCGGGCCACAUGUGGACACCAGACCUGGAGCUGGCCCACCAGAGAGCGUGCGAUGGCAGGAAUGAGUAUAGGGG
Long non-coding RNA from Priapulus caudatus, 203 nucleotides. RefSeq lists it as uncharacterized. The transcript has 3 exons. NCBI's taxonomy places the organism in Eukaryota, Metazoa, Priapulida, Priapulimorpha, Priapulimorphida, Priapulidae. The record is from RefSeq and is a predicted model, not a curated record.